RNAcentral lists this ribosomal RNA (226 nucleotides) under uncultured bacterium. RNAcentral describes it as "partial 16S ribosomal RNA". It matches the Rfam family "Bacterial small subunit ribosomal RNA", at positions 103 to 334 of the family's 1533-position model. The record is from RNAcentral.
CGGGUGAGUAACGCUAGGAAUAUGCCUUAAGAGUGGGACAACUUGGGGAAACUCAAGCUAAUACCGCAUAAGCUCUGAGGAGUAAAGCUGGGGACCAUUUGGCCUGGCGCUUUAAGAUUAGCCUGCGCCCGAUUAGCUAGUUGGUGAGGUAAGGGCUCACCAAGGCGACGAUCGGUAGCUGGUCUGAGAGGAUGACCAGCCACACUGGGACUGAGACACGGCCCAG